CCAUGAAGCUGGAUUCGCUAGUAAUCGCGCAUCAGCCACGGCGCGGUGAAUACGUUCCCGGGCCUUGUACACACCGCCCGUCAAGCCAUGGAAGCCGGGAGUGCCUGAAGUACGCGACCGCAAGGAGCGUCCUAAGGUAAAACCGGUGACUGGGGCUAAGUCGUAACAAGGUACC
Molecule: ribosomal RNA, 175 nt
Filed under: uncultured bacterium
Lineage: Bacteria
Description: partial 16S ribosomal RNA
Rfam family: Bacterial small subunit ribosomal RNA
Source: RNAcentral